Molecule: ribosomal RNA, 595 nt
Filed under: Escherichia coli
Lineage: Bacteria; Pseudomonadati; Pseudomonadota; Gammaproteobacteria; Enterobacterales; Enterobacteriaceae
Description: bacterial SSU rRNA
Rfam family: Bacterial small subunit ribosomal RNA
Source: RNAcentral
UAGAGAGACCCUACGGGAGGCUGCAGUGGGGAAUUUUGGACAAUGGGCGAAAGCCUGAUCCAGCCAUUCCGCGUGAAUGAUGAAGGCCUUCGGGUUGUAAAGUUCUUUCGGACGGGACGAAAUCGUUCAAGCUAAUACAUGGGUGGAUGACGGUACCGUAAGAAGAAGCACCGGCUAACUACGUGCCAGCAGCCGCGGUAAUACGUAGGGUGCGAGCGUUAAUCGGAAUUACUGGGCGUAAAGCGUGCGCAGGCGGUUAUGUAAGACAGAUGUGAAAUCCCCGGGCUCAACCUGGGAACUGCAUUUGUGACUGCAUGGCUAGAGUACGGUAGAGGGGGAUGGAAUUCCGCGUGUAGCAGUGAAAUGCGUAGAUAUGCGGAGGAACACCGAUGGCGAAGGCAAUCCCCUGGACCUGUACUGACGCUCAUGCACGAAAGCGUGGGGAGCAAACAGGAUUAGAUACCCUGGUAGUCCACGCCCUAAACGAUGUCAACUGGUUGUUGGGUCUUCACUGACUCAGUAACGAAGCUAACGCGUGAAGUUGACCGCCUGGGGAGUACGGCCGCAAGGUUGAAACUUAAAGGAAUUGGCGGGG